Molecule: long non-coding RNA, 891 nt
Filed under: Panax ginseng (ginseng)
Lineage: Eukaryota; Viridiplantae; Streptophyta; Magnoliopsida; Apiales; Araliaceae
Description: long non-coding RNA (PGIN_LNC013211)
Source: RNAcentral
AAUACUUCACAUGAGUUUAAAUGCUCCAGCACACAUGAUUUUAAGUCCCAAAAAAAAUGACCCAAAUUAAACCUCCAACAUAUACACGGUUAAGGCUAAAAAGCCUUGUUGAAUCUUUAAUGCUCAUAUGUGUAUAUUUGUAUAAAUGUGAUAUAAAUGUAGCGGAUUGAAAGAAUAUAGAAUCUCCUUGCCUUAGGAAAUUUUAUUUUAUGAAUUAAUUUAUUUAACACUUAAUAUUAAAAUUAUCAAGGUUAAUAAAAAUCAAUUCAAUAAAGUUUAGAAAAUAGUUUAGAUAAAAAUAAAUAAAAUAAUUAAAUAAAUGAAAUAUAAAACCUAUUUAAUUAAUAAUAAUUGUUAUCAUCAAAAUACAAUAAAACUUUGGAGAUCUAUCACAUUCCAAUCACCACCACUACCCAUCAUGCAUUCUUUAUAUUAUAAUUCCUCUUUCUCUCUCACUCUUCUUGCCGUCGACUGCCAUUCAACACCGUUGGGCAGCCAAUUCAUUUUGGAACAAAUUUCUGGCAAAAAAAGUUAAAUAAAAAAAAAAUCCCAAAUCACAUACCCACCUCGUUUUUGAACAAAUACAUGAAGCAAAAUUUCCAGACCCAAAAAGACAUGACAUCGUUGUGGCUAAAAAGGUAGAUCGGAGACCAUGUGCUUUAUCGUCGUUCAAAGAAAAAGGAGGAUUGGAUAUUACUUGUAUACACAUCUCUUGGUUAGCUUUUCUGAGAAAAUUUUCAAUCUUUCAGAACCCCAACUGAAAAGUUAGGGCUUUUUUCAAUUUUGAAAAUGAUAUUGACAACACUACCAAAGAUGAUAUCAGGUCCUUUCCGAACGAGAUCACUCGUAAGAAAUUGGGGGUGUUAUCGGCAGAAUUUAUGAUGGUUUAUG